GAUGAACGCUGGCGGCGUGCCUAAUACAUGCAAGUCGAGCGAACGGACGAGAAGCUUGCUUUUCUGAUGUUAGCGGCGGACGGGUGAGUAACACGUGGAUAACCUACUUAUAAGACUGGGAUAACUUCGGGAAACCGGAGCUAAUACCGGAUAAUAUUUUGAACCGCAUGGUUCAAAAGUGAAAGACGGUCUUGCUGUCACUUAUAGAUGGAUCCGCGCUGCAUUAGCUAGUUGGUAAGGUAACGGCUUACCAAGGCAACGAUGCAUAGCCGACCUGAGAGGGUGAUCGGCCACACGGGAACUGAGACACGGUCCAGACUCCUACGGGAGGCAGCAGUAGGGAAUCUGCCGCAAUGGGCGAAAGCCUGACGGAGCAACGCCGCGUGAGUGAUGAAGGUCUUCGGAUCGUAAAACUCUGUUAUUAGGGAAGAACAUAUGUGUAAGUAACUGUGCACAUCUUGACGGUACCUAAUCAGAAAGCCACGGCUAACUACGUG
This 497-nucleotide ribosomal RNA is filed under the name uncultured bacterium. Its description in RNAcentral is "partial 16S ribosomal RNA". It matches the Rfam family "Bacterial small subunit ribosomal RNA", at positions 28 to 507 of the family's 1533-position model. The record is from RNAcentral.